Molecule: ribosomal RNA, 460 nt
Filed under: uncultured bacterium
Lineage: Bacteria
Description: partial 16S ribosomal RNA
Rfam family: Bacterial small subunit ribosomal RNA
Source: RNAcentral
CCUACGGGAGGCAGCAGUGAGGAAUAUUGGUCAAUGGACGAGAGUCUGAACCAGCCAAGUAGCGUGAAGGAUGACUGCCCUAUGGGUUGUAAACUUCUUUUAUAUGGGAAUAAAAUGUUCCACGUGUGGGAUUUUGUCUGUACAAUUGUAAUAAGGAUGGGCUAACUACGUGCAAGCGGCCGCGGUAAUACGGAGGAUCCGGGCGUUAUCCGGAUUUCUUGGGUUUAAAGGGAGCGUAGGUGGAUUGUUAAGUCAGUUGUGAAAGUUUGCGGCUAAACCGUAAAAUUGCAGUUGAAACUGGCAGUCUUGAGUACAGUAGAGGUGGGCGGAAUUCGUGGUGUAGCGGUGAAAUGCUUAGAUAUCACGAAGAACUCCGAUUGCGAAGGCAGCUCACUGGACUGCAACUGACACUGAGGCUCGAAAGUGUGGGUAGCAAACAGGAUUAGAUACCCUAGUAGUC